AAUGAUGAGCCUGACUAAAGGAGUAUCGUGAUAGGAUACAACAUGUAGGACUAACCCUACCCUCAUUA
RNAcentral lists this transfer RNA (68 nucleotides) under Schedorhinotermes lamanianus. RNAcentral describes it as "tRNA-Ile". Lineage: Eukaryota; Metazoa; Arthropoda; Insecta; Blattodea; Rhinotermitidae. The record is from RNAcentral.